AAUGUGGCUCAGUGAUCAGAGCACAGGACUUGCAUGCAAGGGGCCCUGGGUUUAAUUCCCAGCAUU
This 66-nucleotide transfer RNA is filed under the name Erinaceus europaeus (western European hedgehog). It matches the Rfam family "tRNA". Rfam says of the family: Transfer RNA (tRNA) molecules are approximately 80 nucleotides in length. Their secondary structure includes four short double-helical elements and three loops (D, anti-codon, and T loops). Lineage: Eukaryota; Metazoa; Chordata; Mammalia; Eulipotyphla; Erinaceidae. The record is from Rfam by way of RNAcentral.